Molecule: long non-coding RNA, 763 nt
Organism: Gasterosteus aculeatus aculeatus (three-spined stickleback)
Lineage: Eukaryota; Metazoa; Chordata; Actinopteri; Perciformes; Gasterosteidae
Source: Ensembl
CCCACUUAAUCUCUCUGUCCCACGACGACCAGCCCACUUAAUCUCUCUGUCCCACUACGACCAGUCCACAUAUUCUCUCUGUCCCACGACGACCAGUCCACUUAAUCUCUCUGUCCCACGACGACCAGCCCACUUAAUCUCUCUGUCCCACUACGACCAGUCCACAUAUUCUCUCUGUCCCACGACGACCAGUCCACAUAGUCUCUCUGUCCCACGACGACCAGUCCAAAUAGUCUCUCCGUCCCACUACGGCCAGUCCACAUAGUCUCUCUGUCCCACUACGACCAGUCCACAUAUUCUCUCUGUCCCACGACGACCAGUCCACAUAGUCUCUCUGUCCCACGACGACCAGUCCAAAUAGUCUCUCUGUCCCACUAGAUCAGCCCACUUAAUCUCUCUGUCCCAGGACGACCAGUCCACUCAGCCUCUCCGUCCCACUACGGCCAGUCCACAUAGUCUCACUGUCCGACUAGACCAGUCCAAAUAGUCUCUCCGUCCCACUACGACCAGUCCACAUAGUCUCUCUGUCCCACAACGACCAGUCCAGUCAGUCUCUCUGUCCCACUACGACCAAUCCACUCAGCCUCCCCGUCCCACUAGACCAGUCCACUUAAUUUCUCUGUCCCAGGACGACCAAUCGACUCAGCCUGUCCGUCCCACUACGGCCAGUCCACAUUGUCUCUCUGUCCUACUACGGCCAGUCCACAUAGUCUCUCUUUCUCACUACAACCAGUCCACUCAGCCUCUCCGCCCCACUACGGCC